AGCGAACGCUGGCGGCAUGCCUAACACAUGCAAGUCGAACGAACCUUUCGGGGUUAGUGGCGGACGGGUGAGUAACACGUGGGAACGUGCCUUUAGGUUCGGAAUAACUCAGGGAAACUUGUGCUAAUACCGAAUGUGCCCUUCGGGGGAAAGAUUAAUCGCCUUUAGAGCGGCCCGCGUCUGAUUAGCUAGUUGGUUGAGGUAAUGGCUCACCAAGGCGACGAUCAGUAGCUGGUCUGAGAGGAUGAUCAGCCACAUUGGGACUGAGACACGGCCCAAACUCCUACGGGAGGCAGCAGUGGGGAAUCUUGCGCAAUGGGCGAAAGCCUGACGCAGCCAUGCCGCGUGAAUGAUGAAGGUCUUAGGAUUGUAAAAUUCUUUCACCGGGGACGAUAAUGACGGUACCCGGAGAAGAAGCCCCGGCUAACUUCGUG
RNAcentral lists this ribosomal RNA (434 nucleotides) under uncultured bacterium. Its description in RNAcentral is "partial 16S ribosomal RNA". It matches the Rfam family "Bacterial small subunit ribosomal RNA", at positions 29 to 507 of the family's 1533-position model. The record is from RNAcentral.